Molecule: long non-coding RNA, 2145 nt
Filed under: Manihot esculenta (cassava)
Lineage: Eukaryota; Viridiplantae; Streptophyta; Magnoliopsida; Malpighiales; Euphorbiaceae
Description: long non-coding RNA (MESC_LNC009307)
Source: RNAcentral
UUGAAUGUUUCUGAUUUUUAAGAUAUAUUGGAUACGCCUCUGUGAUGUUGGGGAAAAUCUUUGUAUAUGUUAUAGCUUGUGUAAUUUUCCUUUUCCCUUCAUUCUUGGAUGUGUCUACUGUUAUUGUUUAUAUUUAUGUGAUAACUCCUUGAUAAUUGAAGAAGUUGGAUGAGUGUUUUCUUAACAACUGUGCCUAUUUUAUGGUUAUAGUUGAGAAUGAAUGUGCAUUUGUCAUUGAUCUGAAUUUUUGAGUUUGCCUUUACAUGCUUGUUACUAGGCAGUAGAGUGAAAUGUUGGGUAGUAAUUUUUAGUUGCUAAGCUUAUAGUCUUGUGGGUUCCGCCUAAAGCUUUAGUGAUACAACGAAAUCAUUCAUGUCCACAUGUAAAAUUUGCUAUUGGGAAAUUGUCUUUUGGAGAUAUUGUGAAGUAUAUUAAUGUGGUGUUGAUGUGAAAAAGGAUGUAUUUAUAAUAUACUGUGCAGGCCAUGAUGAAAUUUAUAUGCAAGUUGUAUUUUGCUUUAAAUGGAAAAGAUCCAUUUAUAGGGGAGGUCUUGCUGGAUCUUCGGUAGAUUUAUAGUAGGGGUGACAAUUUUAGACACAACCAAUGAACAUGAUGUAGAAAGAUAAUAUUUUGUUGUUGUUUUUCACAAUAGAGAUUACAACCUAUUUAUACAUGAGAGAUGGUAUCUAAAAAGGAAGGAAAAUCAAGUCUAUGAUUAUACAAUCCUAAGAUUAAGUAACUGAUCUAUCUAUCAAUAUUUACUUGUUAUAUUAACAUAUUUACUCUCUAUAACUUCUAACACUCCCCCUCAAACUGGAGCAUAAAUGUUAAUCAUGCUCAACUUGUUACAUAUAUAAUCAACAGUAGCCGUGAACAGUUCCCGUGAACAAUACUCGAUGAACAGUGCCCCCGAUGUCUCCAAAUGUUACCCUUGCUGGGUAACCCAAAUGCAUGGAACCCUAAAUUUCUAAAUGUUAUCCUUUAUGAGUAAUCCCGAUGAACAGAACCGUAAAUCUUCAAAUAUUACUCUUUAUGGAUAAUCCAAAUGAACAGAGUUCUAAGUCUCCAAAUGUUACCCUUUAUGGGUAACCCCAAUGAACAGAGUCCUAAGUCUCCAAAUGUCCUUUAUGGAUAACCCAAAUGAACAUAGCUCUAAGUCUCCAAAUGUUAUCCUUUCUAGAUGUUACCCUUUAUGGGUAAUCCGAUAAACGGAGCUUGAAGUAUCCAAAUGUUACCCUUUAUGGGUAAUCCGAUAAACAGAGCCCUAAGUCUCCAAGUGUUACCCUUUAUGGGGAAUCCCGAUAAACACAGAGCCCUAAGUCUCCAAAUAUCCUUUAUGGGUAACCCAAAUGAACAGAGUCCUGCGUCUCCAAAUGUUACUCUGGAUAAUCCAAAUGAACAAAGUUCUAAAUUUUCAAAUAUUACCCUUUAUGAGUAAUCCCGGUGAACAAAACUCUAAAUCUCCAAAUGUUACCAUUUAUGGUAACCCAAAUGAAUAGAGCCCUAAGUCUCCAAAUGUUACCCUUUAUGGGUAACUCAAAAUGAACAGAGCCCUACGUCUCCAAAUUUUACCCUUUAUUGGUAACUCAAAUGAAUAGAACCCUAAAUCUCCAAAUGUUACCCUUUAUGGGUAAUCCAAAAUCAUGUUUUACCUGUGUCAGCCACUACUGAAGACGUUGGGAUAAUUUUAAUAAUAUGGAUCUUACUGUCAAAAACCAUUUCAACCAAAAUUCUAUACUCCUUUACCUUCAAACGAACUAAAGGAAGAUAACUCAACACCCAAACGGCAAACGAAUCACAGAUCUGACAAGCGGGUUGCAAGGCAACUAAACGCCUCCACCCAACAUCCAAACGGCAAACGAACCACAGAUCUGAUAAGCGGAUUGUAAGACAACUUUGGCAUCCUCUCUAGGUGGACGAUAAGAGACAAAUAUUACCCUAGAUGGGUAACACAAAAGAACAUGAGCUCUAAGUCUCCCAUGUAGAAAGAUAAUAUUUUGUUGUUGUUUUUCACAAUAGAGAUUACAACCUAUUUAUACAUGAGAGACGGUAUCUAAACAGGAAGGAAAAUCAAGUCUAUGAUUAUACAAUCCUAAGAUUAAGUAACUGAUCUAUCUAUCCAUAUUUACUUCUUAUAUUGUUAAG